UAAUCGGCGCAGGGUGAGUCGGCCCCUAAGGCGAGACCGAAAGGUGUAGUCGAUGGGAAACGGAUUAAUAUUUCCGUACCUUGGAUAGCUGCGAUGGAGAGACGGAGAAGGCUAGGUGAGCCGGGCGACGGUUGUCCCGGUUUAAGCGUGUAGGGAGUGGACUUAGGCAAAUCCGGGUCCACAAUUCUGAGACGCGACGACGACUGCUCUUUGAGAGCGGGAAGUCAUUGAUGCCCUGCUUCCAGGAAAAUCUUCUAAGCUUCAGGCUAUUCGAGACCGUACCCCAAACCGACACAGGUGGUCAGGUAGAGAAUACCAAGGCGCUUGAGAGAACUCGGGUAAAGGAACUAGGCAAAAUGGUGCCGUAACUUCGGGAGAAGGCACGCUGGUGGUAGGUGAGACCCCUUGCGGGUGGAGCUGACGCCAGUCGAAGAUACCAGGCCCCUGCGACUGUUUAUUAAAAACACAGCACUGUGCAAACACGAAAGUGGACGUAUACGGUGUGACGCCUGCCCGGUGCCGGAAGGUUAAUUGA
Molecule: ribosomal RNA, 535 nt
Filed under: Goniomonas pacifica
Lineage: Eukaryota; Cryptophyceae; Goniomonadida; Goniomonadaceae
Description: partial Bacterial large subunit ribosomal RNA
Rfam family: Bacterial large subunit ribosomal RNA
Source: RNAcentral